AGAGUUUGAUCCUGGCUCAGGAUGAACGCUAGCGGCAGGCUUAAUACAUGCAAGUCGAGGGGCAGCAUGGUGUAGCAAUACACUGAUGGCGACCGGCAAACGGGUGCGGAACACGUACGCAACCUUCCUUUUAGUGGGGAAUAGCCCAGGGAAACUUGGAUUAAUACCUCGUAACAUUAUGAAACGGCAUCGUUUUAUAA
This 200-nucleotide ribosomal RNA is filed under the name uncultured bacterium. RNAcentral's name for it is "partial 16S ribosomal RNA". It matches the Rfam family "Bacterial small subunit ribosomal RNA", at positions 8 to 201 of the family's 1533-position model. The record is from RNAcentral.